RNAcentral lists this long non-coding RNA (691 nucleotides) under Ananas comosus (pineapple). RNAcentral's name for it is "long non-coding RNA (ACOM_LNC005497)". The record is from RNAcentral. Lineage: Eukaryota; Viridiplantae; Streptophyta; Magnoliopsida; Poales; Bromeliaceae.
AUUUAACUAGCUUUUUAAGCUAGUUCCCACCGAAACGUCGUAAUUUUAGAAGUUCGGUAUGUUACAUGAACGAUUCACCGCCUUCUUAAUUUUUUAGGUCACCUAUUCACCGCAUUUCACUUAUUUACUAUUUCUUUCUAUAUCUAUAUAUAAUCCUAACAAGUACAUAAAAAUUUUAACAAAUCACAUAUAAUCUUAACAACCUGAAAAUCAUAAUAAUUUAUCCAUACAAUUUCAUAUAACCAUAACAGCCUGAAAAUACUAAUAGUCUAUCCAUACAAUUUCAUAUAAUCUUAACAGCCUGAAAAUCCUAAUAAUCUAUCCAUACAAUUUCAUAUAAUCUUAACAAUCUAAAAAUUCUAAUAAUUUAUCCACACAAUUUCAUAUAAUCUUAACAGUCUGAAAAUCCUAAGAAUCUAUCCAUAUAAUCUUAACAGCAUGAAAAUCCUAAUAAUCUAUCCAUACAAUCCGAACAAUCAAAUAAAAUUUUAAUGAUCCACAUAUAAUCCAAACAACCUCACUUUUUUCUAUUUCCUAUAUAAUCCACGUACAAUUUUAAUGAAUGCGGCGAACGAUUCACCGUAUUUAAAAAAAAAGAGAGAAGAAAUUGGAAAAAGCGGUGAACGAUUCACCGCCUUUAAAAGAAAUUGGGGAGUGCAGGGAACAAUUCACCGCUUUUCGAAAAAUAAUC